CUGAGGAACUGCCAGCGAUGAGCUGGAGAAGUGGGAUGACGUCAAGUCAUCAUGGCCCUUAGUCCAGGGCGACACACGUGCUACAAUGGCAGCUACAGAGGGUCGCAAUACCGCGAGGUGGAGCCAAUCCCUAAAAGCUGUCUCAGUUGGGAUCGGAGUCUGCAACUCGACUCCGUGAACGCGGAAUCGCUAGUAAUCGUGGAUCAGCCAUGCCACGGUGAAUACGUUCCCGGGCCUU
Molecule: ribosomal RNA, 238 nt
Filed under: uncultured Nitrospiraceae bacterium
Lineage: Bacteria; Pseudomonadati; Nitrospirota; Nitrospiria; Nitrospirales; Nitrospiraceae
Description: partial 16S ribosomal RNA
Rfam family: Bacterial small subunit ribosomal RNA
Source: RNAcentral